This 258-nucleotide ribosomal RNA is filed under the name uncultured Basidiomycota. RNAcentral describes it as "partial 18S ribosomal RNA". It matches the Rfam family "Eukaryotic small subunit ribosomal RNA", at positions 624 to 886 of the family's 1831-position model. The record is from RNAcentral. Lineage: Eukaryota; Fungi; Basidiomycota.
AAGCUCGUAGUUGAAUUUCGGGCCUGGCCGGGUGGUCUGCUUAACGGCAUGUACUGUCUGGCUGGGUCUUACCUCUUGGUGAGCCGGUGUGCCCUUUAUUGGUGUGCAUCGGGGAACCAGGACUUUUACCUUGAGAAAAUUAGAGUGUUCAAAGCAGGCUUAUGCCCGAAUACAUUAGCAUGGAAUAAUAAAAUAGGACGUGUGGUUCUAUUUUGUUGGUUUCUAGAGUCGCCGUAAUGAUUAAUAGGGAUAGUUGGG